CUGUGCCAAGAAAGUCCUUGUCUUCUUGAAUGCACCCUAGUUCCAACUCCAUGGCCAAUCAAAGAGGAUCCUCUUCACCCUGUGGAAGUGAAAAGCCUGCAAAUAAAGGCUUGUACAGAAACACUAGCACAGACACCCAGGUUCCUUCUGUUGGACUCCAGAGGGAUAUGUUUGAGUGAGGAGGACAAAUUGUAGUGGAUCUCUUGGGGCUCAGUUCCAUCACAGAAGACAAUUGGGAAGCCUUUCUUCACCAUGUGGUGAACACCCUGGAAAUAGCCACAGAAUACCUGAUCUGAAGUCCACAUGGAGGACUGCAUUAGGCCAAACAUGAUAUAUGUGCUCACAAGGACUAGACUUUCAAUGGCCAGUCCCCUCUUACAAAAGGAAGAGGAUCUUUACAGAUCAUCAAAUGUCAGAUACAAACAUCUCUCCUAGCUUCUCUUUUCUUAAAGAUGGAGUAAAAAUUUCUAUAAUCUUUAGCAAAGGAUUUUGAAACAUAGAUGUGGGGGUAGAGGAAGAGUGAUAAUGGAACAAAAAAUAUUUAGAAGAGAACAGAAGGAAAUUCAGGAUUUUAGACAAGUGAGGCCCUUUUAUUACUAUGACAUUAAACUUAAUGUAAGUA
This is a non-coding RNA of Phascolarctos cinereus (koala), 622 nucleotides long. NCBI's taxonomy places the organism in Eukaryota, Metazoa, Chordata, Mammalia, Diprotodontia, Phascolarctidae. The record is from RefSeq and is a predicted model, not a curated record.